This 400-nucleotide unclassified non-coding RNA is filed under the name uncultured fungus. RNAcentral's name for it is "partial contains small subunit ribosomal RNA, internal transcribed spacer 1, and 5.8S ribosomal RNA". The stretch from base 1 to 73 matches the Rfam family "Eukaryotic small subunit ribosomal RNA", at positions 1759 to 1831 of the family's 1831-position model. Lineage: Eukaryota; Fungi. The record is from RNAcentral.
GCAAACUUGGUCAUUUAGAGGAAGUAAAAGUCGUAACAAGGUUUCCGUAGGUGAACCUGCGGAAGGAUCAUUAUUGAAAAAUAAAAACUUGGUCAGGUUUCUUGUUGCUGGCUCAACUUGCUUGAGUAAUGUGCACACACCUCGCCAUUUUUUUUUAAAUAUACAUCCCUCCACCUGUGCAUCAUCUGUGUAGCUUUUGAAAUGAAAAAAGGACUCUGCUGUGUGUGAGAGCACGGCUAAGUCUGUUUCAAAAGGUCUAUAUGUAUCUUUUCUCAUUUACCCCUUUACAAACAUGUUUGAAGAAUGUGAUCAUCACACGCACACAAUGUGUGAUAUAUAAUGCAUAUAUACAACUUUCAGCAACGGAUCUCUUGGCUCUCGCAUCGAUGAAGAACGCAGC